RNAcentral lists this ribosomal RNA (173 nucleotides) under uncultured phototrophic eukaryote. RNAcentral describes it as "partial 16S ribosomal RNA". It matches the Rfam family "Bacterial small subunit ribosomal RNA", at positions 338 to 525 of the family's 1533-position model. The record is from RNAcentral.
CCUACGGGAGGCAGCAGUGGGGAAUUUUCCGCAAUGGGCGAAAGCCUGACGGAGCAAUACCGCGUGAGGGAAGACGGCCUAUGGGUUGUAAACCUCUUUUUUCAGAGAGGAAUAAGUGACGUGUAUCUGAAGAAUAAGCAUCGGCUAACUCCGUGCCAGCAGCCGCGGUAAUA